GACGAACGCUGGCGGCGUGCUUAACACAUGCAAGUCGAACGCUGAAGCUCAGCUUUUGUUGGGUGGAUGAGUGGCGAACGGGUGAGUAACACGUGAGUAACCUGCCUCCUUCUUUGGGAUAACGCCCGGAAACGGGUGCUAAUACUGGAUAUUCACUGGUCUUCGCAUGGGGGUUGGUGGAAAGGGUUUUUCUGGUGGGGGAUGGGCUCGCGGCCUAUCAGCUUGUUGGUGGGGUGAUGGCCUACCAAGGCUUUGACGGGUAGCCGGCCUGAGAGGGUGACCGGUCACAUUGGGACUGAGAUACGGCCCAGACUCCUACGGGAGGCAGCAGUGGGGAAUAUUGCACAAUGGGCGCAAGCCUGACGCAGCGACGCCGCGUGAGGGAUGGAGGCCUUCGGGUUGUGAACCUCUUUCGCUCAUGGUCAAGCCGCAACAAUGGUUGUGGUGAGGGUAGUGGGUAAAGAAGCGCCGGCUAACUACGUG
This 483-nucleotide ribosomal RNA is filed under the name uncultured bacterium. RNAcentral's name for it is "partial 16S ribosomal RNA". It matches the Rfam family "Bacterial small subunit ribosomal RNA", at positions 28 to 507 of the family's 1533-position model. The record is from RNAcentral.